This is a long non-coding RNA of Spinacia oleracea (spinach), 617 nucleotides long. RefSeq lists it as uncharacterized. The transcript is spliced from 3 exons. NCBI's taxonomy places the organism in Eukaryota, Viridiplantae, Streptophyta, Magnoliopsida, Caryophyllales, Amaranthaceae. The record is from RefSeq and is a predicted model, not a curated record.
UAGUCUUAAAGUGAAACGAAGUGUUUUGUUUCAAGUAAAACAAGGAAACGGGCGAUUUACAAGGUCUUUAAGAAGGAAAAUAAAAAAAAAAAACAAUUUGAAAAAGGAUUUUAAAUUAAUACCCUUAAUUAUUUAAAUUAAGAAAAUAACCAUAUUCUUUUAUAAACAGAAAAAAAAAUAUACGGAACUCAAAAAACCCUUGCUCUCCUUCUUCCCUCCUUCCUACGUACUGUUGCGUGCGCCGUUUGCUCUGCCUUGUUCUCGCACCUCCGCGGUGGAUUGCAAUCUCCACCAUCACGGUACCAAGUUCAUAGAAGGGAGAUUCUAGCUAGCUCGUUAUCCUUAAGUUAUUUUCGUACUUCAAAAAGUCAAUCUACAGGGUUGCGAAUAAGCAUGCAUGGGGAUAGAUUUUGAAGUACCUUUUUCCUUUGAAUAUUACGUUGGUUUUGGAUUUUAAUGUGUUUCAACUGUUUAACUUAACUUAUUCCUUGUGUUGGAGUUUGGAUUUAAGAAGGGGCCUAUUGAGGUCUCCACAUUGUAUUUGUACCAUUCGUUUUAAGACUUCCGCUGUUUGUUCUCAAAGUUAGACUAUAAAAGUUAAACCGGUUUUUAAUUAA